Molecule: ribosomal RNA, 253 nt
Filed under: uncultured bacterium
Lineage: Bacteria
Description: partial 16S ribosomal RNA
Rfam family: Bacterial small subunit ribosomal RNA
Source: RNAcentral
UACGAAGGGGGCUAGCGUUGCUCGGAAUCACUGGGCGUAAAGGGCGCGUAGGCGGCGUUUUAAGUCGGGGGUGAAAGCCUGUGGCUCAACCACAGAAUGGCCUUCGAUACUGGGACGCUUGAGUAUGGUAGAGGUUGGUGGAACUGCGAGUGUAGAGGUGAAAUUCGUAGAUAUUCGCAAGAACACCGGUGGCGAAGGCGGCCAACUGGACCAUUACUGACGCUGAGGCACGAAAGCGUGGGGAGCAAACAGG